UACAGAGGUCUCAAGCGUUGUUCGGAUUCAUUGGGCGUAAAGGGUGCGUAGGUGGCGGGGUAAGUCAGGUGUGAAAUUUCGGAGCUUAACUCCGAAACUGCAUUUGAUACUGCCCUGCUUGAGGACUGGAGAGGAGACUGGAAUUCACGGUGCAGCAGUGAAAUGCGUAGAUAUCGUGAGGAAGACCAGUGGCGAAGGCGGGUCUCUGGACAGUUCCUGACACUGAGGCACGAAGGCCAGGGGAGCAAACGGG
Molecule: ribosomal RNA, 253 nt
Filed under: uncultured bacterium
Lineage: Bacteria
Description: partial 16S ribosomal RNA
Rfam family: Bacterial small subunit ribosomal RNA
Source: RNAcentral